ACGCUCGACACCUACGAGAGGCAGCAGUGGGGAAUAUUGCACAAUGGAGGAAACUCUGAUGCAGCGAUGCCGCGUGAGGGAAGAAGGUUUUCGGAUUGUAAACCUCUGUCUUUGGGGACGAUAAUGACGGUACCCAAGGAGGAAGCUCCGGCUAACUACGUGCCAACAGCCGCGGUAAUCUGAGCGGGCUGGCAAGGC
This 198-nucleotide ribosomal RNA is filed under the name uncultured bacterium. Its description in RNAcentral is "partial 16S ribosomal RNA". It matches the Rfam family "Bacterial small subunit ribosomal RNA", at positions 328 to 539 of the family's 1533-position model. The record is from RNAcentral.